AGUAUCCAGAGUGAAAGCGAACUAUCCACUGUAUGUGAACGGUAACAGGGAAGCAGUCUGGAGGGAUACAGUGCGGACAGGAAGAUCUAGAAGGGCUCAUUAUUGAUGAAUUGUCUGAACAUCUGAAAAGCUUCGAAAGAGAGAAAAAUCACCAACAUUCUACAAAGAUCUACUGGACCCACCAGGAAAGGACCAUGUUCGGUUAAUAAACCAGCGAGGCUGCUGCACCCAGGACCUCCAUUCAGCCACAAGACCAGAGGACACGACUUGGGAUCUUCCUGACACUCCACAAACCUGCACAGAAAAGAUAGAGGAAAUAUGGAAGGAACAGGACUGGAGGGUUAUUGGUCACCAGCUACUCACCAGUAAUGGAGGGAUGUUUGGGAAGCAGCAUAGAAGCUUUAGGGGGAUAAAAAACCAAGUAAAUAUAGGCAAGAUUCUAUGGAAAAUGAGGACAUUGGAGGAGGACUGGAGCAGUUAUAUAAGACAUUUUCUGCUGUCAAGUGUCAAAGAAGCGUUCCAAAGAGGCUGAAGUAUUCAGGGCUGGAAUAUCUCCUUCAUGCCCCUCCCAUCCCGUUUGAUUGACAGCCAGCUGGAAGCCGAGCCCUGUCUCUAAAUCUCAAACUUGUGCAACAAUUUUUCCUUCCCUGCAGACCCUGUGCCGCUUAGUCAUCCAAAAGCAUGUGAUCCAUAGACUGGCGAUCGAUUGGCUGGAUUUACCGCAGCUACUGAAGAAUUUCUGCAAGUAUGAGUGAUGAAACCAAUGGACACGGAUAUGGGGACUUCCUAGUGUAGUGGUC
Molecule: long non-coding RNA, 800 nt
Organism: Hyla sarda
Lineage: Eukaryota; Metazoa; Chordata; Amphibia; Anura; Hylidae
Exons: 5
Source: RefSeq, a predicted model, not a curated record